CACAUGCAAGUCGAACGAGCGAGAGAGAGCUUGCUUUCUUGAGCGAGUGGCGAACGGGUGAGUAACGCGUGAGGAACCUGCCUCAAAGAGGGGGACAACAGUUGGAAACGACUGCUAGUACCGCAUAAGCCCACAGCUCGGCAUCGAGCAGAGGGAAAAGGAGUGAUCCGCUUUGAGAUGGCCUCGCGUCCGAUUAGCUAGUUGGUGAGGUAACGGCCCACCAAGGCGACGAUCGGUAGCCGGACUGAGAGGUUGAACGGCCACAUUGGGACUGAGACACGGCCCAGACUCCUACGGGAGGCAGCAGUGGGGAAUAUUGCACAAUGGGGGAAACCCUGAUGCAGCGACGCCGCGUGGAGGAAGAAGGUCUUCGGAUUGUAAACUCCUGUUGUUGAGGAAGAUAAUGACGGUACUCAACAAGGAAGUGACGGCUAACUACGUGCCAGCAGCCGCGGUAAAACGUAGGUCACAAGCGUUGUCCGGAAUUACUGGGUGUAAAGGGAGCGCAGGCGGGAGAACAAGUUGGAAGUGAAAUCCAUGGGCUCAACCCAUGAACUGCUUUCAAAACUGUUUUUCUUGAGUAGUGCAGAGGUAGGCGGAAUUCCCGGUGUAGCGGUGGAAUGCGUAGAUAUCGGGAGGAACACCAGUGGCGAAGGCGGCCUACUGGGCACCAACUGACGCUGAGGCUCGAAAGUGUGGGUAGCAAACAGGAUUAGAUACCCUGGUAGUCCACACCGUAAACGAUGAUUACUAGGUGUUGGAGGAUUGACCCCUUCAGUGCCGCAGUUAACACAAUAAGUAAUCCACCUGGGGAGUACGACCGCAAGGUUGAGACUCAAAGGAAUUGACGGGGGCCCGCACAAGCAGUGGAGUAUGUGGUUUAAUUCGACGCAACGCGAAGAACCUUACCAAGUCUUGACAUCCCU
This 926-nucleotide ribosomal RNA is filed under the name uncultured bacterium. RNAcentral's name for it is "bacterial SSU rRNA". It matches the Rfam family "Bacterial small subunit ribosomal RNA", at positions 52 to 991 of the family's 1533-position model. The record is from RNAcentral.